This 452-nucleotide ribosomal RNA is filed under the name Clostridioides difficile. RNAcentral's name for it is "bacterial SSU rRNA". It matches the Rfam family "Bacterial small subunit ribosomal RNA", at positions 1071 to 1524 of the family's 1533-position model. The record is from RNAcentral. Lineage: Bacteria; Bacillati; Bacillota; Clostridia; Peptostreptococcales; Peptostreptococcaceae.
GAUGUUGGGUUAAGUCCCGCAACGAGCGCAACCCUUGUCUUUAGUUGCCAUCAUUAAGUUGGGCACUCUAGAGAGACUGCCAGGGAUAACCUGGAGGAAGGUGGGGAUGACGUCAAAUCAUCAUGCCCCUUAUGCUUAGGGCUACACACGUGCUACAAUGGGUAGUACAGAGGGUUGCCAAACCGUAAGGUGGAGCUAAUCCCUUAAAGCUACUCUCAGUUCGGAUUGUAGGCUGAAACUCGCCUACAUGAAGCUGGAGUUACUAGUAAUCGCAGAUCAGAAUGCUGCGGUGAAUGCGUUCCCGGGUCUUGUACACACCGCCCGUCACACCACGGGAGUUGGAGACGCCCGAAGCCGAUUAUCUAACCUUUUGGAAGAAGUCGUCGAAGGUGGAAUCAAUAACUGGGGUGAAGUCGUAACAAGGUAGCCGUAUCGGAAGGUGCGGCUGGAUC